AACCAUAGAAACCUGCGGAGUACCUGCGGAAGGAUCAUUACAGAGUUGCAAAACUCCCUAAACCUUUGUGAACGUUACCUAAACCGUUGCUUCGGCGGGCGGCCCGGGUCCUUCCCGGCGCCCCUCGGCCCUCGCGGGCGCCCGCCGGAGGUAAACCAAACUAUUGCAUUGUAUGGCCUCUCUGAGUCUUCUGUACUGAAUAAGUCAAAACUUUCAGCAAUGGAUCUCAGAUCGGAAGAG
RNAcentral lists this unclassified non-coding RNA (240 nucleotides) under soil metagenome. Its description in RNAcentral is "partial contains 5.8S ribosomal RNA, internal transcribed spacer 2, and large subunit ribosomal RNA". The record is from RNAcentral.